GCGCAUUCAGGAAUCAUGGCUCUUCAUGGGAUACAGCCUGUGUCCAGUGAAUGAUGGAUGGAAGGUUAUAAAGGCCUGAACCUCUCACCCCAACCCUGGACAACUCUAAAAGACCAUCCAGCAUCAGCGCCCCCCUGGGGUCAGCUGAGGCCUUGCAGAUGUUACUCUCAGAAGAACAAAGACUCCUUGAAGAAAUGGCCAAUUCCAGGGUCAGAGAAGAAAAUAAAAGAUGCGCCUGAAAUAUCUUGCAUCAGAAAGAAGUGUUUGUUCAAAGAAUGAUGAAGCCACGUGAAAAGGACACACCAAACAGCUUGAGGGAUUGCCACUGGCCAAU
Molecule: long non-coding RNA, 334 nt
Organism: Hyaena hyaena (striped hyena)
Lineage: Eukaryota; Metazoa; Chordata; Mammalia; Carnivora; Hyaenidae
Exons: 3
Source: RefSeq, a predicted model, not a curated record